GAUGAACGCUAGCUACAGGCUUAACACAUGCAAGUCGAGGGGAAACGGCAUUGAGUGCUUGCACUCUUUGGACGUCGACCGGCGCACGGGUGAGUAACGCGUAUCCAACCUUCCCAUUACUGUGGGAUAACCUGCCGAAAGGCAGACUAAUACCGCAUAGUCUUCGAUGACGGCAUCAGAUUUGAAGUAAAGAUUUAUCGGUAAUGGAUGGGGAUGCGUCUGAUUAGCUUGUUGGCGGGGUAACGGCCCACCAAGGCUACGAUCAGUAGGGGUUCUGAGAGGAAGGUCCCCCACAUUGGAACUGAGACACGGUCCAAACUCCUACGGGAGGCAGCAGUGAGGAAUAUUGGCCAAUGGACGGAAGUCUGAACCGGCCAAGUAGCGUGCAGGAUGACGGCCCUAUGGGUUGUAAACUGCUUUUGUAUGGGGAUAAAGUUAGGGACGUGUCCCUAUUUGCAGGUACCAUACGAAUAAGGACCGGCUAAUUCCGUGCCAGCAGCCGCGGUAAUACGGAAGGUCCAGGCGUUAUCCGGAUUUAUUGGGUUUAAAGGGAGCGUAGGCUGGAGAUUAAGUGUGUUGUGAAAUGUAGACGCUCAACGUCUGACUUGCAGCGCAUACUGGUUUCCUUGAGUACGCACAACGUUGGCGGAAUUCGUCGUGUAGCGGUGAAAUGCUUAGAUAUGACGAAGAACUCCGAUUGCGAAGGCAGCUGACGGGAGCGCAACUGACGCUUAAGCUCGAAGGUGCGGGUAUCAAACAGG
RNAcentral lists this ribosomal RNA (761 nucleotides) under Prevotella melaninogenica. RNAcentral's name for it is "bacterial SSU rRNA". It matches the Rfam family "Bacterial small subunit ribosomal RNA", at positions 28 to 776 of the family's 1533-position model. Lineage: Bacteria; Pseudomonadati; Bacteroidota; Bacteroidia; Bacteroidales; Prevotellaceae. The record is from RNAcentral.